RNAcentral lists this ribosomal RNA (224 nucleotides) under uncultured bacterium. RNAcentral's name for it is "partial 16S ribosomal RNA". It matches the Rfam family "Bacterial small subunit ribosomal RNA", at positions 524 to 746 of the family's 1533-position model. The record is from RNAcentral.
UACGUAGGGUGCGAGCGUUAAUCGGAAUUACUGGGCGUAAAGCGUGCGCAGGCGGUUUUGUAAGUCUGUCGUGAAAUCCCCGGGCUCAACCUGGGAAUUGCGAUGGAGACUGCAAGGCUAGAAUCUGGCAGAGGGGGGUAGAAUUCCACGUGUGAGCAGUGAAAUGCGUAGAGAUGUGGAGGAACACCGAUGGCGAAGGCAGCCCCCUGGGUCAAGAUUGACGC